CCAGGAUGUUGGCUUAGAAGCAGCCAUCAUUUAAAGAAAGCGUAAUAGCUCACUGGUCGAGUCGGCCUGCGCGGAAGAUGUAACGGGGCUAAACCAUGCACCGAAGCUGCGGCAGCGAACGUAUCACCCAAGACAACUUUACGGAGUUGACGAUUGACGGAGCGAAGCGACGUCAAAGCGUUCAUUAAAGUCGAGUUGGCUUAGGGAUACGUUCGUUGGGUAGGGGAGCGUUCUGUAAGCCUGUGAAGGUGGCCUGUGAGGGUUGCUGGAGGUAUCAGAAGUGCGAAUGCUGACAUAAGUAACGAUAAAGCGGGUGAAAAGCCCGCUCGCCGGAAGACCAAGGGUUCCUGUCCAACGUUAAUCGGGGCAGGGUGAGUCGACCCCUAAGGCGAGGCCGAAAGGCGUAGUCGAUGGGAAACGGGUUAAUAUUCCCGUACUUGGUGUUACUGCGAAGGGGGGACGGAGAAGGCUAUGUUGGCCGGGCGACGGUUGUCCCGGUUUAAGCGUGUAGGUGUGUGUUCCAGGUAAAUCCGGUUCACUUUAACACUGAGGCGUGAUGACGAGGCACUACGGUGCUGAAGCAACAAAUGCCCUGCUUCCAGGAAAAGCCUCUAAGCAUCAGGUAACAUCAAAUCGUACCCCAAACCGACACAGGUGGUCAGGUAGAGAAUACCAAGGCGCUUGAGAGAACUCGGGUGAAGGAACUAGGCAAAAUGGUGCCGUAACUUCGGGAGAAGGCACGCUGACACGUAGGUGAAGUGAUUUACUCACGGAGCUGAA
RNAcentral lists this ribosomal RNA (780 nucleotides) under Salmonella enterica. RNAcentral's name for it is "partial 23S ribosomal RNA". It matches the Rfam family "Bacterial large subunit ribosomal RNA", at positions 1093 to 1781 of the family's 2925-position model. The record is from RNAcentral. Lineage: Bacteria; Pseudomonadati; Pseudomonadota; Gammaproteobacteria; Enterobacterales; Enterobacteriaceae.